Macrobrachium nipponense is the source of this 4392-nucleotide long non-coding RNA. RefSeq lists it as uncharacterized. The record is from RefSeq and is a predicted model, not a curated record. Lineage: Eukaryota; Metazoa; Arthropoda; Malacostraca; Decapoda; Palaemonidae. The transcript has 2 exons.
CCCCUUGGCCGCCCCCCCCCCCCCCCUUCAGUUUGUGUAAAAAAAAUACAGUAAGUGCUAUUGAUAAAAAUAAUAAUAGUAAUAAAUAUCAUAUAAUCAUAAUGAUAAUAAUAAAUUGAAAAUAGAUGAAGAAGGUGAAGAAGCACAGUGUAUUGUACAAAAUAAUGGAAAUACCAUUACUAGUGAGAAUACUACACACUUACCAAUACAACAAUCACGGCCAGACACAUGUUGUUUUGGAUAGACUGGCUGGGAGUCUUACAGGAGGUUUUUAUGACACCCAAUGAUUGGUUGCUGAGACACGCUUCUCAUGGGAAAAUUUUUUGAUUGGGCAAGGGACGCCUAUAUUAGCACUCCCAUUGGCUCACUCCCUCAGCCAGCACAUAAGCUUCUGUGGUUUAUGAGCACUGCGCCACUUGCAUCAAGUGACAACAACUCUGGACAUGUAAGUUCAUCAUUUCCUAUGCUUGCACAGUCAUUUUUACCAUAAAGACAGUGGAUAUUGGUGUUCCAAACAUCAUAGCCAGGUAAAGUUAAGUAUUUCUUAGUUUUACCAGACCACUGAUAUGAUUAACAGCUUUCGUAGGGCUGGCCCAAAGGAUUAGAUAUUUUUACUUGGCUAGGAACCAAUUGGUUACUUAGCAAAAGGACCACAUCAAUAAAUGAAUUUCCAUCACCGGAAAUCAAUUUCUCUGGAUCCUUGUUGGCAGAGCGGGGAAUCGAAUCUGGACCCUGAGAUCAGUAGUUGAGCAUGUUAACGACUCAUUCAACAAGGAACUUUUCAUAGCCAGAGAGAGGGAGAAUUGGUGAUUCUUCCAAUGUGUAUAACACUGUUUUGGUGGCGGUGGUGCUUGAGCUUCUGUGGUUUUAAGGCUCUCAGACUGGUUGAGGGCAAUGUGGUCCAAGGAAACCCUGUCUAAAGGACAUCAUUGAUUUGGAAGGGCAACUGAAAAACUAUUCAUUCCAGACUGGCAUUUCAAACAAAUUUCUAUGGAAGGACUUGGGUUUUGAGUCUUGUAUAUGUUCCCCUCUUUUUUCCACUGUGGAUAACAAUCAUUGCAGGCAUAGAGGAGUUGGUCCUUGGAUAGGUUGAGUAAGGAUGAGCACAGUGAAUGGCUGUAGUGGGCAUUAAAGGAAGAGGAAUAAUCAUUUACCUUCCCCAUUCUGUGUUGGGAGUAAAGGCAGUGUUGAGACUGAGAAAUAGUGUAAUAUGGACCAGAUAUUCCCCAAGCUGCUACCUAUUUCAUUCCCAUUAUUGUGCAUACCUCCAUUCAUAUACUUUCUUUCAUCUGACUUUCCACCUUCUAACAAUUGUUUCAUAGUGCAACUGCAAGGUUUUACUUCUGUUACACCUUUCAAACCUUCUUACUGCCAAUUUUCCUUCUGGUGCUGAAUGGACCUCAUAGGUCCCAGAGCUUGGCCAUUGGCCUAAAUAUUUUAUUCCAUUCUAUAAUACUAUUGAUGGAGACUACUACUUCAUGAAGAGGAUGUCAAUUUAGAGCAGGUGGGGACAUGGCUGGGUAGUAGACCGAGAUGUCAAAGAUUCAGAUGGUUUGGGCAUAUGUAGUACUGAGAUGUGGAGAGGAGCAGACACUGAGAGUUGGUAGAUAUGGAGGUAGCAGGAUUGAAAUCUCAGAAGGCCAAAAAUCAUAAAGAUAUGCAUUUGAAGCUGUAGAGAUGGUAAUUUGAGUAAAAAAUUUACAAUUUACAAGAGGACGAGAAAAUUCUUUGGUAUGACCUCUCAAAAUGUAGCACUUCAUGUAUGAAAUUUAUUUUCAUUUUUAUAUUCAGAUAACACUGACUUAUGACAUGGAAUUUAACCUCGGAGAUUAUGAUGACACAAUGCAUUUUAUCAAAAUAAUUUUUAAUACCUGUGCUGUAAAAUGUGUGUGGGUGCCAUAAAAAAUGGAAUGGGAAGCUCAUGUUUAUUUUUAAGGCACAUUUUUAUUGAACUUGAUAUUUAUUGGGGCAAUUUUAGAAAUUUCAUUUGUUUCAGAGGAGGAUAUAGCAUAUAUACCUACUUAAACGACACUUCUAAAGAAAUUAUUAGCAUGGACAGAGGGACAGAAAAGUAAAAAUCUUUUGUGCUACUUUUACUGUAGUAAGAACCAUAUUAAUGCAAAGUAAAUAAUUGGGAAGGAAGUGCCCAGGACUGAAUUUUCAUUAGGGUGAGAGAGGCCUCUAGCAUUAUUAGGUGGAGGAUGUAAGAGGGGCAGAGGUGUAUUAGACAUUAUCAUGUGCCCCAGAAAAAAGUUUCAGGACUGAAUUUCCUUGUCUAUUCUCCCACAUUGUUAUUUCAGAAAAGAAGAGCCCAGUUAACUUUAGUAGAUGAAUAAGAGUAGAAAACAGUUACGUAUUCUACUUUGAGAUUUGUAAAUAGUAUUCUGGAACAGAUUGAGUAGGCAAACUUUGAAGGUAAGACAUAAAAGACAGUGUUAAUGGUUCUUUGUAAUUUCCUGAUUUUACUAUAGGCAAAUUGAAAAUUAACGACAGUAAUCGUUAUAUAAUAUUAUGUGAACUUCCAAACCACCCAAUGAUCUUACAUAACAGUAGUCAGUGUUACUUGUCACUUGGAAGGAGUCUCAACUUUUAUAGAAUAUGUUGGUAGGAGAAUUAAUUUGAUCAAGUUGCCACAUAAUUGUUUGCUGUGAUUGAUUUUGUGUCAUCACCAGUGUUCGUCAUAAGGUUAAAUAGGUUGAAUAACCUCCAUCAAGUUUAUACUGGCAUUUCAACAUCCACUUACUGUCCUACAAACCUUUCACUGUAACAUUGUUUCUACAGUGUUCUGAGAGUCUUGCUGGCUGUUGUACUUUUUUCGCCACCUUAUUAACCCUUCUUUGGGGUGAGUAAUUUGCUCAAUAUCAUUGAAGGAGAAGGGUACUUUUUAUGGUGUAUGUUUUUUCAUUAACCCAAUUUGUAUUGAAACUAUCACUAGACUGCUCAUGAAUCAAGACUUAUGCCUUUACGAUCUUGUGAUCAUUGCCUAUAUUCUGCCCCACUGGUUCAAGCACACCAUGUACAGUAAGAAGUCUCAUUUAACAACCAACACAAGUUUUCAGGAAUUUUAUAGUUCCUAUUACUUUGGUGGUAAUACCAUCCUCUGUUCCCUCCCAAUGAUUCUAGGGUUGUUAAACCUUUGUCCCUCAGCUUACAGCUUUGUGGUUAUGAGAAUAUGGAAACCAGUAAUUAUCCUUAACUUCCUUAAUCAUGUCAUUGUUUGGAUUUCCAUCAGAGGGAAACCAGUUAUCUGUCCUUCAUGAGGAGCCAACUAAUGUGACCAGAUUUUUAAGAUAGAAAGAUUGAUGUAUGCAUUUAUCUGUCUUCCAGAGAAUCCCUUCACUCAAAAUUACACUGAAAACUCUUAAAGACAUUUAUGGCCACACCAAGUUGUGUGCUCAUGAUUUGUUUUUAAAGUUAAUGAAAUCUUAUCUCUAGCCAUAAAGUAAUCAGGUUGAAGAGAUGUUGCAAAGAACUUUUGUUCUUUUGACAGAUGCUGCACAAUAAACUAUGAAUAAUAACUCCUAUGAAAAAGUACCAUCAUGUACCUGUGUACCUAAACCAUAGUUCCAGUUAAUUAUAUGUAUCCACAAGAAAUCUUAUAGGUAUCCUGGUUUUUAUGGUACGUAUACAUAAUUAUGAUUUAUUAGAAUCAGAAAAAAAACUAAAAAGGGAAAACAUCCAGGUUUGGUAUUUGGGCCUAUUUCAAGACUUAACUCAUUGUUAGCUUAUGAAAAUUUAUUGAGACAUUUUAAGAUUGCAUGUGAAAGGGGAAAAUAUCUUGGAUCCACACCAUUAUUAAAAUCUAAUCCCUUACUUAUGUCUUCCCCCUUCUAAAACUUUCUUAAAAAUAUCAAUAACUUACGGGUGAAUACAGAACCUCUGCAUGGAUUUGUUGAGAGUGGUAGUUAAGUAUCUAUUCUUUCCACUAUUCUAGUAUGAUGAAACAUGAUUCUGAAUGCUUAAGCACCAUCCAAGGAUAAAGAAAUACUUAUUUUGGUAAAGUAUAAAAUAUUUCUGCUCAUUGGUUAGUCAUGUUGUACAGUAUUUUUAUAUAGAUAUCUAGCAUUGUUAUUGCUUGUGAGUAAAAUAGCCACAGUUUUGUAUACUUUUGUAUAUUUAUAACUAUACUUUUGUAUAUUUAUAACUGAAACAACAGAAGAUUUUGCCUGUUUCAAGGUGUUAUAUGUAGAAAUAUACAUAUGUAUGUACAACUGUGGAUCUUUUAAUCAUAAAAGAAGCAUGUCAUAGUAUAGUAUUAUGUUUGUUAUUUGUACUCCAGUGACAUUAUGUACUUGAUUCUAUUGCUAAAAAACAAAAAUAAUUGGCAAUUCUCAACUGUUGUAAUUUAGGUAACUUGGACUCAUUUUGAUGAAAUUAAACGAUACACGUAAA